CCAGUGACCUAUGCAGGGUUUAUCCCUCUGAUUUUUGUCUUUCAGAUGCUUGAUUCCUCGUCAUGAGCAGAGGAGGUUAAAAGAUGUGAAACUCAAACUAAAUGAUUUCUACUUGAUGAACAAUGUAACAAAGCCAUGGAAGGAAGUUGAAACUAUUGGCCGGAGAAAAAAAUAAUCUUUCCCUUACACAACUUGUCUAUGUACUUGAGACAGAAAGGUGAACAAAACAGGCAAGCUUUCUGCUUUCAUGGAGCUCACACUGAAUUGUAACUUUUAUUCACUAAGUGCUUACUAUUCUAGGCACUGUGUAUGCAUUAUCUCGUUUUUAUGCCAUAGGCAGAAAUCUGUGCUGUAUAGGGAAGGAACUUGAGACUCAGAUUAAUCAGAUUGCCCAAGGCUACCCAGCUGGUAAGUGAUUCAUUCAGGAUUCUGCCCCAGAUCUAUUUGAUUCCAUAAAUGGUUGAAACUGCUGAAUUUGGGGAUUGUAUGUGUAAUUAACAAACCAUGUUGUUCUUUUCCUAGAUAUUAUAAGUGAAAACUAACUUUACCAUACUGGAUAUUUAUCAUAUUUUACUAUAAUAAUGCCAUGAGGUAGAGAGCUCUAAGUUUUUAUUUCUGCUUGUUAGUUUUGAAUUAAAUGUAUAUGACACAUUAAUAUCCUGUUUCUGACAAAACCCAGAAGGUAGCAAGGUUUCAUGAAGACCCCCUGAACUAUAUCAGAUGUAACAUAAGAACCAGUAAGUUUUGAAACUGUUACUGUCCAGGCUAAAGCUAGUACCCUCUCUCAGUUCCUCUCAGAUCUUUCCCACAAGCAAAACAUGUACUAACUUCUUAUGAACUUUAUGAAGAAUGGGUAUCCACUUAGAGACCUGCAUGGUAAAGACAAAUUGUCAUACUUCUUUGUUCUUAUAGAAUGAUGGAGUAAAAAAAAUUAGGGUUAUGCUUUCUGAGAGAAAGUUAAUUAUACAAUCACCUCAAUUAUUCAGGGGUAGAAUAUUAGAUUAAGGAUAUAUUCAUUCCUGCCUUGGGCAGUAGAGAAGGACUUUUUCGUUGACACUAACAUGAUUGCAAUAAGGCAUUACAAGUGAGCUGGCAUCACCUGAAAAAUGACAUAUAUCUCUGAAAGGUGGCCAAGUUUUAAGGGACCUUAAAGAUUAUCUAGUCCAUUGUCUUCUUUUUGCAGAUGAGGAAAUUGAGGCCCCAAAAGGUAAAAUUACUUGCCCAAGUUACACAGCUCCGUAAGACACAGCUGUGAUUGUUUUUCAGCUGAGAAAAAAUUCAUUUUAACGAGUUAAUGUUUGGCAACUAUACUAUAAAUAGCAGAACAUAUACUGAUGUCAUUUACCCAAGUAAAUUGGGUCCUUCAGUUGACUUUCAAGACCAGAGUCCUGACAAGGGAUAGAGUUCUUUCCUUUGGUGUCUAAUUUGAGCAUUGAUGUAGACUUGGGAUAGUGAGUGAAACCAUAAAGAGAGAAAAUAGAAGACUAACAGCAGAGGGAAUGAGUCUGCCCUCCUUUUAAAAAAGAAUUCAGCCCAUCCCUCCCAAUUCAUAUCUCGGCUUUUUGUUUUGUUGUUAUGGAAUCAGUUCUGCAAGAGGCAUAGGAAAACAGGUGAUGACUGCCAGUUGGCAUAACUUCAAAAGGAGGAUUAGAUAUGAGAAGAAAAAGAGUGGAACUUUUUAUUACAGAAUCUGUUCUGGCUAUCUACUGACAUGUAACCUAUCACCUGACAAUGCCAUGGCUUCCCUAUGAAGGAUUUGUUAUUCCUGAUGAUUCUGUGGGUUGGCUGAGCUCAGCUGCAAGGUUCUUCUGUUCCUCUUGGUCAAGCUGCAGUCAGUCAUGCAGCUGCUUUCAGCUGGGAGUCUGUCUUGGAACAUCCAAGAUGGUCUCUUAUCUUCCAAGACCACUCUCCAGGUAACUCUUUAUCACUCGGUAGUCUAGCCUGGAUUUUUUUAGGCCAAGGCAGCUGCCUCCUAAGAGAGUGCAAAAAGCAGUAGCUUCCAGACCUUCUCAAGGCCUGUGCAGUGAUCUUGCCCAGUGUCACUUCUGCUAAAUUCUGUUGAGCAAAAGCAACUCAAAAGGCCAGCCCAGAUUCACGGGCAGAGGAAAUAGACUCCAUUUACUGAUGAGAGAAUGGCAAAUAAUUUUGUGGCCAUCUUUAAUCCACUGUAAUCUCAGUUUUUUAGAAUCUCAAUUUUUGUUUCUCAACCAUUUUACACCUUAACUUUCUUACCAUUUUAAUGUCCAUAUCAAAUAUUCAAGAAAUGCCAGUAUUUCCUUAGCCUGUGCAAUAACCUGUAUCUUUCCUCGGUUUCCCCCAAAGACAAAGAAAUUCACACAUAACUCAGGAAAAUGCUACGAGUAGGACUUUGUGAAAUCCUACAUUUCAGAGAUUACAGAAAGAUCCCUAAUUAUCCAAAUGGGAGUGGAGGUGAAUUCUCCAGCCCCUUCUAUUCUCUAGGUGGUAUAAAAACAAGGCCUCAAGUCCCAGGAUAUUUAAGUUGUGGAAUAAAACGAAAUAUGAGCAUGUGAGAGUGAGCCAGGGAGAGGAUUUUGGCUGGGAAUUUAGGUGUGUAAUUUGGUUCAGCAAGAAGACCCAAUCCAUUUUCCCUUUGGCUGCUGAAUUCUCAUUUCUCUAAUAGAGUCUGAAUUUAGAGAGCAUCUUCUCUGACCAGGUACUCCUCUGCCAGAACAACGAGAAGUGCCAAACCGCCUCAGUAACGAUGGCCAACUUGACAUGGAGACAUCGUAAAAAUCGGAAUGAGGGAUCAGCUUUGAUUUCCCUAAACUUUAUUUAUUUACUUUUUAGUACUUACAAAGGCGCUACACACAAGAGCUCAGGUUGGUUUUUCUGCUGAAAAUGCAGUGGCUGCACAGCCAGCCAGGCCCUCUUACUGAAGCAGGUAGACAAUGGUGGGAAUGGGCGUUCUGGAGUGGGUUUCACUGUAAAGACAGCAAUGUGAUUUUGAGUCCCCUUUUCCCUGAAGGCACCAGCAGAAUCACCAGGAGGCAGCCUCUUCUCCCUCAAAUGAGAUACAGCAGUUUAUCAUGUCAGACUAUGCCACAGAGGGGUAAGGCUAUGGGGCUUCUGGCUGUCAGGAGGAGGAUUUCAUACUGAGGCCCCUCGGGUCAUAUGGAGGAAGCCUAAAAAGUUCAUUCUCCUUCUCCCGUUGUCUAGAAUCUUGUCUCCUUUUCCCACCCCAGUGUCCUCUUGACCAACCUUAUAUUCCAAAUCCAAGUCCUGUGUGCGUGUGAUAUGAGUGCUGUCAGAUUUCCCUCUCAUCCAUUAAGAGAAGGCUCCCAAUUGUAUCUGAAUCAAUUCAGUAAAAAGAAAUAUAAAGGAAUGGGUUUUUAUCUUAAUUUAUACAUUUUCAUAGGCUCCCACAAACUUAGGAAACUCUCUUUUAACAUUUGGAACAAUUCUGUGAAAAGAAUUUGAAAUUAUUUCUGCCUAAUAGAGAUGUAUUCUAUGGAGGCAGAAUCAUGAGGGGAAAAUAUACAUAUGUAACUCUUUGGCAGAGCUGCUGUAUUAAAAUUCUGUUCACAGCUCCUAUUAGAGUUCCUCACCACCUAUUUCAGAUUUUGCUCAUAGUAAUCGUUUCACGGUAAAACUCUUUCGUGUCUAUUUCCCGAAUUGCUAUGUUGUCUAUACAUAUUUAGUGAUAAUUCAUGAUUGGGUUGUAUUUACCCCCGUCGUUAUGUAUUACAAAUGAAAUGACAGCAUCUGCUGAAAUUAAAAGUGGCCACAUUUUCGCUGGAGCUUAAUUAAAUGCCAAAAUUUAUCUACAUUAACAACAAAGUAGUGAAAUUUAUUGAUCAAUUCACAUGAUAUAAGUUGACAAAUGGCUUAAGCAAUUUCCAUAAUUUUCUACACGUGUUAAAAUUUGUAAUGAAAAAGAACACUAUAUUAACAUUAAAUGAGAAAUGAAAGGGAGGUUUUGUGCUGGGGCCAGUGCCCUGGAGCAGUGUACUUUGUUUUCCGGGCCCUGUCCGGGCUUGCUGUUUGAGCUGUGUACAGAUGGGUCUCUGACAGUCCUACAGCUGUUCUCCUAAUUGUCCAUUAAGUGUUCUAUUGAUUCUCUGAUUCAAAGUACAUGUCUUUCAACUCGAGGUAUCGUGUGAAGUGGCAGACACAUUCCUUGUAGAAUGACAGAGCUGCUUGAAACCUAAAAAUGUGGUCUGCCAGUUUCAAUUGAGCAUCCUGCUUUCAAAGGAGAAGGCUUGCUUAAAGGCGCUUUGUAAUAGCUGGUUAGGUUUUAUUUUCUAAACUUUUAGCAUCAAUCAAUUAAAGCAGCAGCAGCACGAAGUGUUUUAAUUCCUGGUUAAGCAUGUACAGAUUGCACCUGGCUGAUUCGGGGUAGGGCGAGGGAAUUGGUAUUGGUAACGGAAGGUCAACCUUCUUUAGCUGUAUGCAGAUUUUUUCCCCUAUGCACCUGACAUGCGCAAAGUCAUUUUCAUUUGACUUGCAAGUUCACUUUUAGCAUUUUUUAAGAAAUUGAGAUCAUCUGCAAUUCCAGAUUAUGCCAGUCAGAAGCCUGUUUAAAAUCAUCUUUCUUUAAUCUGUAAAGUGAAAGAUAAGAUGUAUAUCUGUUGCGAGGACCAUAAAUCUUCAGAGAAACAAAUAACCAUAGAUAAAACUGUAAAAGUUAUUUAGUUCUCCACGGGAAGAGGUUUAUUAAUCUAAAAUUUCCAGUCCACUGUGUCAUGAUUUGGUUAGCACUCUGUAUCUCAUUUUGUGCAAUUGUACCCUAAGCAAAGAGCUGAUCGCUUCAGAGUUUGAACUUUAUCAGUUGUGCAGUUCAGUUGUAAUCUUAGUGCGAGGAAUAUAACAAAAAAAGUCCAAAACUAUGAUUUAGAUCCCCUCCCCAAUACCAUUUGCUUUCUUUUCUUAAUAAGGUGGUGCAUCCUAAUGUUCUUACCAUUUUGGUUUAGCUCUUAAUUAGUUUGUAAUAUAAUAUUUCCAUAGAAAACAGUCUUAUUAUCUAGUAGUCUUUCAGCUAUAAAUGAAAUGAACAAAUAACGCUUGUGGCCUCCUGUGAAUCAAUUUAAUUAGGAGCUACCCCAAUGGCCCUAAUCACAGUUGAGGUUCUUUAGCAUGAUUUUAGCUAUUAAAUAAGUUUUGAUAGUCAUCUAGGUUUUCAAAGGGAAAAAAGACUGUCAAGCACACAUUUAAACAUGUUUAAUGUAUUAAAUAUACAUAUUUAAAUGUGUAAAAAUGAAAAAUAGUAUAGAAAUCACUUUAAGGGAAUGAUUAAUUAAAAACUGCUCUCUUUCCCACAAUUAGCUGCUCAUUCUUUUUUUUUUUUUGGCCUCCUUUGUAUCUUCUCACAAGAGCCCCUUUUUGAAGAAUACUCCCUUCUCUUUCCCUCUCACUAUUGUUGGGUAAAGGAGCAUGGCCACGACACUAGAGUUCCUUUUGUCAAAAGCAAGUGAUUUGUGUCCUGACUCUCUGUCUGAAAUAUGACUCUCUUUGCUCUGACUCUCCCCGUCUAUGAGCCUCCAUGCUGGACAGUCCCAAGUAGGAGGUGAGUGACCUAAGGUGCUUGGCCUAGUGAGACAGUGAGAAUUACCCAGCAAGAGUUAUUUUGGCAGGGCAAAAUGGGCAAAAUGGCACGUGGGUGCAUCUACAUAGAGCCGGAGAAUGUGGGUAUGGCCUUGAUCGAACCUGACUUGACUAUGGCUUUAUGGUAGGUAUAAGAUAGCCAGAUCCUAAAGCUUCUUUUUUUCUGUGUCUACAUAGCAUCUCUAGUGCCUGGAUUCACAUUUCUAUCUGUUGCUAGUCAUCCUUUAUCAUAGAUGGUGACAAUGAGGCAAGCCUUGAAUAUGACUUGGAAAGAAAGCAAAAUCGAAUAAUGCCACUAGUGGUGUGGCCCACAAAUUGUAAGAUGUCUUAUACUUAAAGAAAAAAAUUUUUAAGAAAUGGAGGUACUGGGCAUUGAACCCAGGACCUCACGCAUGCUACGCAUAUGCUCUACCACUGAGCUAUACCCUACCCAUACCUAGACAUCUCAUACUUCGAUUACAACAAAAAUAACGUUAUUUUAACUGUGGGAACUGAGGGAAAUUUGAGAUUUAAGGGAGAUGAGAAAAGGACUUUCUAGUUACAUAUUUGCCUGGGGAUUUCAGAGGCUGAUCAGCAUACCCUCAGAUGUAACUAGCUUGACAAAGACUGCCACGUGGUCAAAAUACUCUAUCCAAGUUAGCGAGUCAGCAUGGGGAAUGAAAGUUAAAGUGACCACCCACAAUUACAUCAAAUAUAAAGUUGGUUAUACAUGUUUCAUUACUUCCAAAAAUGUAGAUGCAAUAAAUUCAUGAGGGAAGAAUGAGUUUGGCCACUAGGUCUAAUAAACAGGGCAGAUGCCAGGACAGGAUAACCUGAGGAAUGAAUUUGCUGGGUGAGGUCUUGGAAGUUUAAAUUAUGAUUGACACCUGGAGGUUUUUCUCAACCAGGGUCGGAUCACUAACUAGGUAGUGCUCCCUCAAAAGGUAGAGUUGAUUUAAAAAGUUAAAUAAAACAGUCAGUUAACACUUCCUUUCCCCAGAAUUAUUCAAAGAUAUCCCUGAGUAGUGGGGCUCUGAUCCUUGCUAAUGCUUUCUUCAGGUUUGGUCUCCAUCUAAUUGGCUCCAGAAGGUAGUCUAUCUCAUUUUAAUAAAGAGUAGUUCUUUACUAUCCAAAAUACAGUCUUAUUAGUUUACACACCUGAGCCACUGAGUGUGUGAUCAUCUUGUGAGGAUGUGGGCGCAGUAAACUAUCCCUCUCCUCAGCACUAAAAUAGAAAAUAACAUGUUCUUUUGAACAGGAAAGGGGUACUACUGAUACCUUGGCAACAGAACACACACUAAAUUUAUCAUCCCAGGAGAAGCAACACCACCCUGAACCUGCACACAAGGUAUUUGUCAAGGGCAAAGGAUUAGCCCAUGUCCGCAAGACAUGGUUGUUCUGGGAAACCUGGUUCACGCCAGGGAAUGCCCUGGUGUCAGCACUGUGGCUUAACCAAUUGAGCUAACCAGGCUGAUCAUGGUUAUUAAAUAAGCAUCCAUAAAGCUUCCACAGGUGUGCACUUUUAAAGUCAAUCAGUGGCCCCCCAUUUUUUUUUUUUUGACUUAGACCAAAGAACAGAUGAAAGUCAAGGAGCAGGAUCAGAAAUAGAGCUUCAGUGUAAUCCUACGUUAAAAG
Vicugna pacos (alpaca) is the source of this 7176-nucleotide non-coding RNA. Lineage: Eukaryota; Metazoa; Chordata; Mammalia; Artiodactyla; Camelidae. The record is from RefSeq and is a predicted model, not a curated record.